RNAcentral lists this transfer-messenger RNA (183 nucleotides) under Candidatus Avimonoglobus intestinipullorum. Its description in RNAcentral is "partial transfer-messenger RNA". It matches the Rfam family "transfer-messenger RNA", at positions 1 to 207 of the family's 374-position model. From Rfam's summary of the family: Bacterial tmRNA, also known as 10Sa RNA or SsrA, is named for its dual tRNA and mRNA-like properties. Its role is to liberate the mRNA from a stalled ribosome. The record is from RNAcentral. Lineage: Bacteria; Bacillati; Bacillota; Clostridia; Eubacteriales.
GGGGAUGCAACGGAUUCGACGGGGAUGAGGAAGCCCCGGCAGCGGGUAGUGCUGAGCCCCACUGAAAACGGCUCAAGUUUUAAAAAUAAACGCUAACAAUAAAUUAGCUUACGCAGCCUAAGUGCUGCCGUCUGAUCUUUGAGGACCACGGCUUAGAAUCAGGCGCCUACCAGUGGUGAACGU